Molecule: long non-coding RNA, 1532 nt
Filed under: Homo sapiens (human)
Lineage: Eukaryota; Metazoa; Chordata; Mammalia; Primates; Hominidae
Description: HSALNT0355462
Source: RNAcentral
GGGAGGGGAGGGAGGAGGGGGAGGAAUCUUGCAAUCUGAAUAAAAACAUCUUUGGGCCUCAUUUGCGCCCCAGGCCCCCCAGGCUCCGCCAGGCUGGGGGGUGGAGGUGCAGGCAGUGGUGGAGAGCUGAGUCCUGGACUGGCCUAGGAGACCCCAGUCCUGGCUGCACGGCCUCAACCACGUGACUUGGAGGGGCAGCUCCUCCUCUUGACACCCCAGCUGUUCACCCGCACAGCCUGGAGCCCACCCUGCUGUCGGGGCUGCGGUGAGAAUCUGCUGAGGGCCUGUGUUGCAGGGUCUGGUGUCGCCCAGGGAAGUUCUGCACCAGGUCGAAUCUCCAGGCCUCCUAUUGUGUUUUAAUCACAGUCUACCUGUCUAGACCUAGUGUGUCCUACAGGGUGUGCGGUGGCCAGGCCCCAGGGGGCCCCAGGGACCCUCACCUCCCAGCAUCUGUCACCUCCUGCCCUCCCGUGGGCUUCUGGGCUUGGUCUGUGCAACCCACAGCCCUUGGUGGGAGUGUUGGUGUGUGGCUUCCUGGGCGCCCGGGGCCCCUCGGCGGGGCUGGUUAGAACCGGUGCUGUGGCACAGACAGCAGCUGGUGCCAGGUGGCCCUGGCCGGAGACACUCAGGGCACAUGGACGUGCAAAGACAGCAGGCGGCCGAACACCUGUCACCGUCCCAUGUCACGUAAGGGGAGCAGUGCACAUCGGCACUGGCCGUGUGAGCCCGUGGUGUGUAAAUUCCUCCAGGGAACAGGUUCACCAGCCCUGCGGAGAGCCGUGCGUGCAGCUGGCACGGGGGGUCCCUGAGAAGAUCCUGGCCCUGCUGUGCUCGACUCCGCGGGGGACGCUCAGCCCUCCUCGACAGAAGGUCCUGCCCUCCUCUCUCUCUCCCUGCCUGCCGUGCGCCCGCCCUCACUGUGGCCUCUGGACUCCUGCUGGAGUCUCCUUGAUGACAUUUAAGUCACAGCUCCACCUGGAAUUCAACUUGGGCUCAGACACCCCAACCCUCUGGGAUGGAAAAGAAGAAAAUGGAGAGUGUGGGGCAGACGCCGGCCGAGCCGAGGGCAGGUCAGCACAGCCUCAUGUCCGGCAGAGGGUGUCCAGGUUCUUGGCAUCAUGAACAAAGAAUUGGACAAAAUGCACAAAGCAACGGAAGAAGGAAGCAGCAAAGGCAGAGACGUGUGGAACAUGAACGCGCACUCCACAGUGCAGUGGGAGCCGGGCUGAGCACAGGGGGUCGGGAGCCCUGUUACAGAACUGCCUGGGGUCUAAAUAUGCUCCAGAGGUUUCCACUGGUUACUUGGUAUAUGCCCUAUGUAAACGGAGAGGUUAUUUCCUGUUGUAGCUGAUGUGUUUCCAUUUGAUUUUGUUCUACGGAGUCAGCGUGAAACAGCCUUAGGUUCCCAGGCUCCAGAUCCUCUUCUCCUCCCUCACUGGGUCCCAGUCAUUGCCCCAUUGUCUGGAUCUCGGAGGCUGCCCCUGGUGCUGGCUGAAGCCCAGCCACCAUCCCCGAAGGCCGCUCCUUCCCAG